Molecule: non-coding RNA, 25 nt
Filed under: Cricetulus griseus (Chinese hamster)
Lineage: Eukaryota; Metazoa; Chordata; Mammalia; Rodentia; Cricetidae
Source: RNAcentral
GGACACUUGUAAGGGAGCUCUGUGC